GAGCUCGUAGGCGGUUUGUCGCGUCUGCUGUGAAAGCCCGGGGCUCAACCCCGGGUCUGCAGUGGGUACGGGCAGACUAGAGUGCAGUAGGGGAGACUGGAAUUCCUGGUGUAGCGGUGAAAUGCGCAGAUAUCAGGAGGAACACCGAUGGCGAAGGCAGGUCUCUGGGCUGUAACUGACGCUGAGGAGCGAAAGCAUGGGGAGCGAACAGGAUUAGAUACCCUGGUAGUCCAUGCCGUAAACGUUGGGCACUAGGUGUGGGGGACAUUCCACGUUUUCCGCGCCGUAGCUAACGCAUUAAGUGCCCCGCCUGGGGAGUACGGCCGCAAGGCUAAAACUCAAAGGAAUUGACGGGGGCCCGCACAAGCGGCGGAGCAUGCGGAUUAAUUCGAUGCAACGCGAAGAACCUUACCAAGGCUUGACAUGAACCGGAAAGGCCUGGAAACAGGUCCCCCACUUGUGGCCGGUUUACAGGUGGUGCAUGGUUGUCGUCAGCUCGUGUCGUGAGAUGUUGGGUUAAGUCCCGCAACGAGCGCAACCCUCGUUCUAUGUUGCCAGCGCGUGAUGGCGGGGACUCAUAGGAGACUGCCGGGGUCAACUCGGAGGAAGGUGGGGACGACGUCAAAUCAUCAUGCCCCUUAUGUCUUGGGCUUCACGCAUGCUACAAUGGCCGGUACAAAGGGUUGCGAUACUGUGAGGUGGAGCUAAUCCCAAAAAGCCGGUCUCAGUUCGGAUUGAGGUCUGCAACUCGACCUCAUGAAGUUGGAGUCGCUAGUAAUCGCAGAUCAGCAACGCUGCGGUGAAUACGUUCCCGGGCCUUGUACACACCGCCCGUCAAGUCACGAAAGUUGGUAACACCCGAAGCCGGUGGCCUAACCCCUUGUGGGAGGGAGCCGUCGAAGUGGGACCGGCGAUUGGGACGAGUCGUA
This 929-nucleotide ribosomal RNA is filed under the name Arthrobacter sp. RNAcentral's name for it is "bacterial SSU rRNA". It matches the Rfam family "Bacterial small subunit ribosomal RNA", at positions 565 to 1490 of the family's 1533-position model. The record is from RNAcentral. Lineage: Bacteria; Bacillati; Actinomycetota; Actinomycetes; Micrococcales; Micrococcaceae.